UUAUAACUGCUCUGUUUUACUAUAUAUUUUUUAACUAUAGCCUCUAAGAAUCUGAGAACUCUUAUUGUAAGCAAACACCAUUCCUAAUCUAACAAUUCAAGUUCAUUACUUAAUAUAUGUCCAGUGCCAAGAAGACUUUAUGGCAUCGUGGUUUGCAAGACUUGAGAAUUUUUCAGUAGUAGGUAUCUUUUCUUCCCAAGAUUUCUCUAUUUGAGGGUGAAUCUUGUGCUUCUGUGCCCAGAGCAUACAGAGGCCAGAAUCACUGUCGGAGUCAUACAGCAAAUCUGGGUUUCUGCUAUUACUCUGUCUGUACGCUUUAAUGUAUCCUGGCAGAAAAAGUAAUAGUUGUUCUUUUGGUCCUUUGCAUCCCCACACACGCUGACAAUGUGAGUAACUUAGGAACGUUUUUGGAGAGAGAUGUCUUGUCUUUUGCAGCACUGAUUAAUCACAAAUUUAUCUUGGAAAGCUGCAGAACUGUCAAAUGGAUGUCUUAUUUAAUGACUUAGCUUAAAUUUGAACAAGAGCCAAGAGGCCAAACACCAUGUUCUAAAAAUGUCACCGAUUCAUUUAUUCUGUGACUUUGCUUUCAUUUUUUUCCUCUAUCUCCCCCAAACCUUGGGAAUGCAUUUACUUUUCAAAUAAACCACAUGUCUAUUUGGCAAGACUGGAUUUUAAGAAAUCAUUAUGUGACUAAGGUUUAAGCUCCUCAUUCGCUUUUUCAGAAAUCUCAGGAUUUCUUCUGACUUUUUCUGUUUCAUCUUCUUCCACUUGUCAUUCUGAGCAACUGUGUCUACAUUCUCAGUUCUGUCUUCCUCCAUUAACCAUCUGUGUUUAGCUCUACAUAACCAAAUCUCUUUUGUGUUCAUUCUUAAAAUAUGCUUCUUUGAAGUAGCUGUUCUUUAAGUGCUUUAAGGUCUUACCAUAAAAAUGCUAUUUAAGAAAAAUAUCAUUAUAGAUGUUUCAUGGAUGUGGAAGCUGACAUAGACAGAAAGAGUGACUUGCUCACAGUAAUUUACUACUGGUAAAAUUAAUGAUAUUUUAGCCUCCAGAAUCUCAAUCUAUUGAGCAGUUGAAUGUUCUACUUUCCUUCUUUAAUACCUUCAAAACACAGUAUGUUCCUCUAAUUUUCUGCCUUCCAAAACUCCAUACAUGCCAAAUUCAAUUUUAUCUGUUGUAUUUUACUCUCUCCUUAAUCAUUAUUUAUCUAGACUCUACGUUGACCAAGGUUGAACAUUUGUGCCUUUUAUUUGUAACUUUUCGCUACACUGUUGUAAGUAUGUUCAUGCUGUACUUGCAGUAAGAAAGCCAGUGGGAUAUUAGGCAUUUUCAGUGAUGAGUAGCUAAGUAUUGAGAUAGAUAGUUUGGAACUAACUUUAUUUUUUUAUCCAUGCAUCAUAAAAUGUAUGUGCGUUUGUGUAAACAAUAGCUAUUGCCCCAUCAGAACAAUUGUUUAAAUUAGUGGUAUGUACUACAGUAACAUGGUAACUAGAAGGUAGUUUGCUUUACCAGUACAUUCUGCAUAAGCUCAGUACUUUGACUUUGUUGCAGUUUUAGGUCUUCAUAAUUCUUGAACUGUUUCUCUACAUGCUCUAGCACUCACAUUGCAGCCUCAGAUGUAGGAGAGCAUGAAUUUCUGUAACAAGCUGACUGCUGGCUACCCCCGAUAGUUGAUGAGAAUCCUUUGGACCAGAAAAGGGCUUUUUAGUCAGCAGAGGGCUCCCCAUCCUGUAAUAAAUGAUGUUGCUUGAUAAUACAGAAAAAAAACAUACUGGAGUUAGGAAAUCUGGGUGAGGUUUCAUGAGCCGAUUAUUUUCUUCAAAUUCAUCCUUUGUGCUUUAAUGUACUGUAAAGUAAGAGAGUCUGUAUUGCUUCGUAGGGUGUUACGAGAAUAAAAAUUUACUGUUUCUGAUCAUCUGGGCUAUACAGAAGUCUGAAAUAAUAAGAAGUGGCCGGAUACGAAAUCUGAAUUACUGGAAAGACAGUCGAUUUUGACGUCUGUUUCACAUGCUCAGAAACAUUUUACAUUUAUGCAGAUAUUUGUUUAUUGGUGAAGUUAACUAUGUUGCUGUCCCUGAAAAAUUACGGAUGGGAAAGAUCCACAUCUGGAUUUAGUUCUAAGCUUUCUGACAUCAUUUUAAUGUAUGUAUAUGCAUACACAUUUGCUGUAAUGGAUAUGAAAUGCCUUUAACUUUGGAAAAUGUGGGUUCCAUUCCAUUGGUCAAUUAAAUCGACAUUGGUCAAUUAAUUGACAUUGGUCAAUUAAAUCACUUAGAAGAGCAGGGACUGGUUUUAAGAUUGUCCUGUGAUUCCAUGCCUUAAUUUUGAAUACUUUAAUGUGACUUCUGUCAUUAGAGGAUGAAAAAGGAAUGGACAGUUACCAUUAUAGUGUCUUUAUAUCUUGAUGUAUUUUUUCUAAAUUUAAACUUUUGGUUUUAUAAAUGGUAACAUAUUUACUAGAGAUAAUGUCAUAUUUGUAAUUUAUGUUGUAAGUAACAAUAGCUUCAAAUUAAGUAUCUUUGAAAUCAUUAAAUAUAUGUGUAUAUGAGAUUACAGUUUUAUAUUCACAUGUUCAUAUUUGUCAUUUAUAAUACUACCUUUACACAAGGUAAGCUUCAGUGUACAUUUUGUCAUUUCAAAACUGUUGAAGUGAGUGUAUAAGUGAAUAUAUGCAUAAAUAUUUUGACUUGUGAAGAAGAGAUUCCUUUGACACUUCAUUUCACGGAUAUUCAAACCAUGAAAAAUUGGUUGCUCUUUUUCUAUACACUGCUUGUCCUCAGGCAAAAUAAGCUCUAAUUUUAAAACCUUAAAACUAAAACCCCAUGUAGUCAGUUAACCCAAAAGCACAAGUAAAGAAUAUGGUUUUUUGAAAAUAGUCAGCCUCAGAAGAAACUGAUUUGGAUGAUAGCAGAAAACUUCUAAAAGAAAGUUAUGGUUUUUUAAAGUAGUUUCUGUUCUAUCCUUUUUAUAAAUUACUUGGAGUUUAUACUGGCAAAGCUGGAAUUUGCCGCUGCUACUUCAGGUGAGGUACACAGGUAAAGAAAUAGAAAACCUUGCUAUAAAAAGCAUGUGACAAAUAUUCAUGCAAGUAAAUUUCUCCAUAGGUAAAACAUUAAGUUUAAUUUCUAUGCAUGUAACUCUCAAUGUCUGAAAAAUAUUUAAUCUGUCAUUUUAGUGUAUCAUGAGGCAGCAUUUGAUCUUUCCACAAAGAUUAGUCCUUUACCAAUUAAGCCUUUUACUAGUUUGAAUCAAAGACCUUUCAGUCAGUUGAACGUUUCUGAUCUGCCGCAAUAAAAACAUGUAUUUUGUUUAUUAACCAGCCAGACAUAAAAUGAUCCACAUACAACCUUGCUUGUGCAUUGCUUAUUCCUGCCCUGACACAUUCCAGCUGGCUCACUGAUUUGUCUUCUACUAAUUUUUUUGAUCAGACUUACAAAAGUAUGUUUUUAAGGGAAUAAAGUAUAGUGUGUGAGUCAGUUUUGAAGAUCUGUCGCGGAAAAUUUAUGUGUUGCAAUUAAAAUUUACUUCUCUCGCCUUUGUGUUCGCUAGAUAGCCCCAACAGCACAAUAGUAGAUGAGUCCUUUGUCUCACCACUACUGUUGAAAGACCAGCAUUAGUUAAAAUCAUCAGUAUCAAUAUCCUUUGGGGACAGUGGUACAGGCAGAGGUAA
This is a long non-coding RNA of Strigops habroptila (Kakapo), 3667 nucleotides long. RefSeq lists it as uncharacterized. The transcript has 2 exons. NCBI's taxonomy places the organism in Eukaryota, Metazoa, Chordata, Aves, Psittaciformes, Psittacidae. The record is from RefSeq and is a predicted model, not a curated record.